UUCCUACGGGUGGCUGCAGUGGGGAAUAUUGGACAAUGGGCGAAAGCCUGAUCCAGCCAUGCCGCGUGUGUGAAGAAGGUCUUCGGAUUGUAAAGCACUUUAAGUUGGGAGGAAGGGCAGUAAGUUAAUACCUUGCUGUUUUGACGUUACCGACAGAAUAAGCACCGGCUAACUUCGUGCCAGCAGCCGCGGUAAUACGAAGGGUGCAAGCGUUAAUCGGAAUUACUGGGCGUAAAGCGCGCGUAGGUGGUUCGUUAAGUUGGAUGUGAAAGCCCCGGGCUCAACCUGGGAACUGCAUCCAAAACUGGCGAGCUAGAGUAUGGCAGAGGGUGGUGGAAUUUCCUGUGUAGCGGUGAAAUGCGUAGAUAUAGGAAGGAACACCAGUGGCGAAGGCGACCACCUGGGCUAAUACUGACACUGAGGUGCGAAAGCGUGGGGAGCAAACAGGAUUAGAUACCCUUGUAGUCCCG
RNAcentral lists this ribosomal RNA (470 nucleotides) under uncultured Moraxellaceae bacterium. RNAcentral's name for it is "bacterial SSU rRNA". It matches the Rfam family "Bacterial small subunit ribosomal RNA", at positions 336 to 799 of the family's 1533-position model. Lineage: Bacteria; Pseudomonadati; Pseudomonadota; Gammaproteobacteria; Moraxellales; Moraxellaceae. The record is from RNAcentral.